CUGGGUCCCAGGGUCCACCUUCAUGUUCCACCAAUGAGUUUGUUCACAGGGGGUGGAGUGUAUAAGGGAUGUCCUGAUAUGUGUGUAAGGAAUGCAUUGUGUGAAAUUGUGUUUGUAUGUGUAAGGGCUGCAAGGUGUGUUUCUGUGUAUGUACGGGAUGUAGUGUGUGCGUGUGUAAGGGGUGCAUUGAGUGUGUAAGGAAUGCAUUGUGUGUUUCUGUGUGUGUAAGGGAUGCAUUGUGUGUAAGGGUUGCAUUGCUUGUGUGUGUGUGUGUCUAAUUCAUUGUGUGUGUAAUGCAUUGUGUGUUUUUCUGUGUGCAAGGGGUGCAUUGUCUUUGUGUGUAAGGGGUGCAUUG
Non-coding RNA from Pelobates cultripes (western spadefoot toad), 355 nucleotides. NCBI's taxonomy places the organism in Eukaryota, Metazoa, Chordata, Amphibia, Anura, Pelobatidae. The record is from the annotation of a GenBank genome assembly.